Long non-coding RNA from Photinus pyralis (common eastern firefly), 2706 nucleotides. RefSeq lists it as uncharacterized. NCBI's taxonomy places the organism in Eukaryota, Metazoa, Arthropoda, Insecta, Coleoptera, Lampyridae. The record is from RefSeq and is a predicted model, not a curated record. The transcript is spliced from 5 exons.
AUAAUUAUAGGUUAUACGUACUUGAAGCUAUCGCAUUCAUAAGUUGAUCUGGAAAAAACAUUCCGCCACCAUCAUCGUCAUCGUCGUACGACGCUAGUCUUCUGAUCGUUGACCCAUAGCAAAACGCGAGCCACAAGCAAAUUAAAAACAAUACCUCUUUGCGCACCAUUUUGAACGUUACAUGCGAUGCGAUCGGUGACCAACGACGUAUUGAUAACACCAGCUUGGGUCAUUCUUUUUUAUAGAAGUGUCAGAUAAUUCAACUACGUGCAAGGCUUUUCUCAGAUGUAAAUACUAAUUAAUUACUAAUGUUUUUGCUUUACUUUGCAGAUAUGAUCGCAGUAUUGGAAUUGCAUUCUGUUUAGUUAGGAUGACCUUAAUUCUAAAUUUGACCCGAUUUCAACGUAUGCUUUCUAUAUUUCACGGAACGUGUUUAUUGAACCAGUUUGAUUAAUUUACUUAGAAGAACACUGUGAAUUGCGCCAUUCCAUAGAACAUUUCGUUGGAGUAUUUACUUAGAAAGCCUUUUUGACGUAGAAACAAACAGUAAAUGGGAACAAAUGUAUUCUUGUUUUUGCCAUAAUAACGCCAAUCUAAUUGAAUUUGGAACAAAAUAGAAAAGAGAUUGUGGUACACAAAUAUACUCGCGAACGCUAUAGCUGUUAGAAAGCAUGUCAUUGGGGCCAAGUAUUCCAAUUCAUCACUAAAAAUUCCUCAAAAAAUCGUGUACCAAUAAAAAAGUUACCAAAAAUAAUGCCAGAAUGAAACUCAUUCUAGCAUCAAAACCAUUCCCUGAAGAACGACCUUCUAUAUGCGAAACAUACAAAUCUAAUUGUAUGAGGUUAUUUUUGUAUUUGUACCGAUUUCCCGAUCCACAAGAAGAGUCACCUACCCCUCAGUUAGAGGCAGCUGAAGGCGACAUAAUUUACGCAAAAAUUGAAUUUGAAAAUUAACACAAGAUACCACUGUACUUUCUGAAGGCAGAUGCUACAUUUGCAAUGAAACUGUAAAAUGCACCAUAAGCAAAUCUAAUUCAAGAAAAUGUUCCAUUCAUACAAAAGACUGGCAUUAUUAAAAAUUCGUCAAUUAGAUUUUUCGAUUUUAAUAGCCCUUAUGGACAUUUCAUGCCUUAACGAGAAUACAAACAUGAAAUAAUUUUUAAUUUCUGAUCGAAUGACACCAAUACCAAGCCUGUAAGUGGUGUAGUUCCGGAGCCUUUGUGAUUCAGACAGACAGACAGACAGACAGACAUGAAAACGAAAAAGUGCACUUUUUUUUUUAAAGUGAGAUAUUUACACAAAAUAGCUAUACGGAGAGGUAUACAGUCAAGGGACCUAUAAUAAUAAACUCUGUAUAGAUUUCAACCAGUAGGUGUCUAUGCUUUAAUUUUCCUGCUUUGUCCAAAUUGGUAUUUUGUAAGCACACUUAAAAGGUAUAUACAGAGACCGUAAUAACAAGUCUCUGAGUAUAUAGCGUCCCCAAAAAUUACCAGUGGGUUAAGGUUAAAAAUUUUUCAAGAAUACCUAUAUACUAACUACCUACGAGCAAAUUCAAGCAGAGAAUAAAUUACUAGUUAACCUGCAGGUAAGGUAUUUUCUUUUUUGUCAUGUGGCCCAUGCUGCGCUACCAACUUAACUCACUGCCGACUUAAGAUUAAUAUUCAAGGGUACGCCUGUAAAUGUUGUAACAGUAACUCUAAAUGUGAAUUUGAGAGAGAGAGAGGUACAGUUUUUUUAGGUUUCAAGGAUUACGGCAGGUUACAUAAUAUAUACAUAGGAUUACAAGGGAUUUUCCAAUAAAUCAUGUGACUAGUGGAAUUUCAAGAGUAAAUCUAUAAUUGUAGUCAUAAUUGGUUUCGGAUGUCUGAAGACGAGAUCUUGCUGUGAACUAGACCUAAGUGGGUAACUUAAUAAUUGGCCUUACCUACUCUAAACCACUGAAGAAGCAGGAGAUCAUUUCAUUAUCGUAGAAAAUGCAUCGUCGUUGUCGUAUAUGUUGGUCACAAGUGGGAUUUGAUUUAGAUUUAUUACCCUAACAAGCAACAAGUAAAGAUGACGAUGUUCAUGGAUAAGAAGCCAUUUUGUGGUUAGUAGUUAAUGAGAAAGGAUAGUAGGAAUCCUCAAGGGGAGAUUUUUUGGGCUUCAUUCGAUCUUGGACAACAAGAUAGUUCGUACGCGGCUAAAAAUAUUAGCUUUAUUUCAAGCACUAAACACGAGUUGUUUCGGGUUUUUGUAAAUAAUUUUGUAAAGUGCGUUGCAUGGUUGUAGUUAAUUUAUAAUUCCUUCAAACCCCUUGAUGUUAUGCAACUUAAAUAGCAAUAAAAAAAUCGUUUUUUGCAUCACAAUGUACGGUGUAAAAAUGUCAGGCACGAAGUACCGGCCGUAAGCUGCAGGGCGGAUAUACGAGGGAUUAGUAAGGUUUAAAUUCAGGCCCUUGAUAUGCAUCAUGUCCAGCCAUGAGCUUCUGGAUAAUUCAGGGUUCAGGAAAUCUGGUUAAGUUCUGGGUGUUUUGAUUUGUGGAAUUUUGAGCUAAGCAAGGUGAGGUAACAGUCUCCUACAAUGAGCCGGGCGCCUUCUUUUAUGUGGUUAGACUGGUUACGUUUAACGUGAAGUGAGAGUAGCGGAAAAGUGAUGUAGGUAACGGCAUCUCACAGUAAGCCGGCAAAUAAUUUUACCAUUUUCUACUACAAAAUGAUAACAUUAAACU